GUGAUGAAUAGCUCAGUUAGUAGAACAUGAGACCCUUAAUCUCAGGCUUGUGGGUUUGAGCCCCACAAAGAUUCCUGCA
Molecule: non-coding RNA, 79 nt
Organism: Podarcis lilfordi (Lilford's wall lizard)
Lineage: Eukaryota; Metazoa; Chordata; Lepidosauria; Squamata; Lacertidae
Source: the annotation of a GenBank genome assembly